CCUACGAGAGGCAGCAGUGAGGAAUAUUGGUCAAUGGCCGAGAGGCUGAACCAGCCAAGUCGCGUGAGGGAAGACUGCCCUACGGGUUGUAAACCUCUUUUGUCGGGGAGCAAAGCGAGUCACGUGUGACUCUUUGAGAGUACCCGAAGAAAAAGCAUCGGCUAACUCCGUGCCAGCAGCCGCGGUAAUACGGAGGAUGCGAGCGUUAUCCGGAUUUAUUGGGUUUAAAGGGUGCGCAGGCGGAGGUGCAAGUCAGCGGUCAAAUUGCGGGGCUCAACCCCGUACUGCCGUUGAAACUGCAUCCCUUGAGUGCGCGAGAAGUAUGCGGAAUGCGUGGUGUAGCGGUGAAAUGCAUAGAUAUCACGCAGAACUCCGAUUGCGAAGGCAGCAUACCGGCGCGCAACUGACGCUCAUGCACGAAAGCGUGGGUAUCGAACAGGAUUAGAUACCCGAGUAGUC
This 459-nucleotide ribosomal RNA is filed under the name uncultured bacterium. RNAcentral's name for it is "partial 16S ribosomal RNA". It matches the Rfam family "Bacterial small subunit ribosomal RNA", at positions 338 to 795 of the family's 1533-position model. The record is from RNAcentral.